UGUGGAUAGUUGUAUCUAAUAUGAUUACACGUAUUAAACUUGAUCAUAAAUUGUUAUUUGGUGCGUAAUUAUAAACCCAGUGAUCUUGAAGAUGUCGUUCAAUUUUCCACCCUGUAUUCCUAAUUGAACUUCAUGAUUCCGCUCUCAUAAAAUUUCUGGUGAUGAUGACACAAGAUGAAAAUCUGGGAAAUAAGUCAACUCAAAACAAUAACCCAAUUGGUAGAAAGAGAAAAAAGGCUGAAAAUGACACACUAGAAAUGAGAAAGGAUAGACCGGAAUAUCAAAGGAAGAAGUAUCAAUUAGUAAUAAAAAAUUUUCCAUAGAAUAAAGAAAAAUUAAAGAAUAUGAAAGCAUAUGAAAGAAAAAUUGAGCUACGGCCAAUUUUACAACCUAGGGUAAAAUUGAAGAUCGAACUAUGGUUUAAACUCUAUUUGAAACCAAUAAUAAAUAAACAAGUCAUUUUAUAUGUCACAGUCAAACAUUUUUCUGUCAGUCGUCACUAGCGCGGAAAUAUAACUAAUUUUUUUCCGAUAUUUGUUUUAAAGUUGAAUUGUAGUGCUUUUGGUUAAUCUUGUAUAAAAACACAAAGAAAUGUUUUCGAUAGAAGCAAAACAAAUUUGAAAAAUAGACAGGAAACUUCAAAUAUUGCUGCCUCAUGACCGCCAAACCAAAGAAAAAUAUUUGUCUGAUUUUUGGCACCGAUUUUAUGAUUUCCUCCGAUCUGAUAAUCAACCACUCUUUGACUCGCAAUGUCAAUCGCAAUGAUUCUAUUAACUCUAGAACGUUCUUCAAAUUCUUCAUCUCUGUAUUACUGGAAUGUUUCCUGUAUAUAAUUUCCAUUCUCUUCAGUUUCACUAGACCAUUUACUUUCAUCUCCACUACCGAAUGGAUAUUCUUUCUCUAUCUUAAACAUUUCUCACAACAAAUAAGCUUAUAAAUCACCAUCAAAAAUAUAUGUUGACAUGUGACUACCCAAAUGUUCUAAAGUAUCUUUGAAACAUUUUCACCUACUACUUAAAAUAUUCAAUUUGUUGCUAGAACGUGAAAAAUUUUGUUCAACAUUUAAACUGGAUGAUACUUUUGGAUAUCGCGCAUGAUAAAAUAGUUACAAACAGUCUUCUAGAUCAAGCAGUAUUAAGAUCUCUUUUGCUGGCUGAUGGUUUUUUAAUUUUAAUAGGUAGGUAUAUUUUUCAAGAUUUGACUUUUGUACUCCUCAUGGAAGAAGUUCCGAGCGUCUUGAGGAAGAUACAAAAUGAAACUUUCAAUCGCCAUUGCCUGUAAUAGCAAAACCCAAACCCUUAUUCAACAACUCCAUAUCUUUUCCGUCAAACGUCUGGAAAUAAAUGUUGAUUGGCUCCAAAGAAAUUUUCUUGGACUGCGGUUUCAACUUCUUCAAUUUCUUACUCAAAACAAACAUCUUAAAUUUUUUAAUAAUGACCCAGAACAUGUUUCUUUGAAACUCACACCAGUUUUCAAAUUCUAAAUCGGUUAAUUUAUGUGUUAGUUUUUUGUAAAGUCCGUAUGCUUCUAUUGGUGAGAAAAUUUAGUAUAAAACAGGUUAUUAGAGUUUAGUUUAACAUCGAAAAGCGCGUCAGACAGUGUAAUUGUUGGUGUAGUGGUGGUGUAAACAAUGUAUUCAAUAUUAAUAUCGCCUACGGUUCCAGAAAUUCCAACUUAAUAUCUAAAACUUGAUCAUAUCCAAUUUCCAAAUUUUUAUCUUAAAAUAACCGAUCUACUAGUGAAAAUUUAUUUCGUUUUUGUUCCCAUUCAACAUCCUGCAUCUCACUAAGAAGCAUACUUAGGAUAAAUCCAUUGUUGUUGAUGAAUGUGUUAUUUUUGCCUACUGAACAAAUUGUUACAAUUUAGUUCAGUACUUACUCGUAUAAAUCGUAUAAAAAAUACACAAUAUUAGUAGUGCAUAAAAAUAUUUUGUACUCCAGUGUCAGCAUUGCUGGAAUUGCAGUAAUUAAAAUAAAUAUCUAUUCACAUGUUUAUCAAAUUAACAAAAUUAACAAAACACUGUAAACACCAACCUCGAAAUAGUGAUUUUAUCAAUUAUCUAAAAACAUAACACACGGCUUUUUGUGAAAGUAGAAUAAUAUUACAGAUCUGGUUUUCCCGUCACAAAUUUAAUUGCUACGUACAUAAAAAAUCAAGUAACUGGUUUUAACCGUGAAAAUGAGGUACAUAUGAAACUAAUUUUACAUUUUAUCGUUAAAUUAAAUCACUAACGUGAGUAGUUUAAUAAGCAACAUUUGAGUAAUAAAUUCUGCAAGAUAUAAUGCGCAAACGUAUAGGGAGGUAUUCAAAUUACAUAGCUUGUAAUAAAAGAGGGAGGUUAAAAAAAACAAAGAUACGUUACGUUAUUUUAAAUUUAAUGUAAUUCAGAACCAUAACAAAAACGAUAACUAAAACGUUAAAAUAUUUAAUGUUCUCUGAAAAUAACGCGGUAAUUGAAAAAACAGAAAUUUGAUUUUUUAUGUAUUUAGAAAGUUUAUCAUUAGUUAUAUUUAUGAGUAAUUGAAAAUUGAUAAAAUUGAAGAAAAUAUGCAUCAAUCAAUAACCAACAGCGUCAGAAGUGAAACUUUUUGAUAUUCGAAAACUGUCAAUGACUGUGCAAAAAAAUACAUUGCAGUGAAAGAAAAUUAUCUUAAAUUUAUUACUACGGAAGUUUCACUUGCAUGUACCGCAAUAGGUUCAAACUUAAAGGAGACCUAAAUCAAGAAAAUUCAUACCGAAAAUAUAGGUCAAUUUGAAUCUUGAUUAUUAAGUACUACGAAUUUAAUAAGAUUUUAAAGAGAAAAAAUAAAAUUCUACGCACAUUUAUCAAUUCCCCCAUGAUACCAGCGUUUUCGUAGUAGGAUUGUGGUAAAACUAAACACCAAAGUAUACUACAGAUUGACUCAACCCAUUCUCAUCUUGCUCUUUUCUUUGUCAGCGAGGAUAAAAGAUGAUUUAUUAAACUUGUUUAUGAAUCGGCGGAACCCAGAACAGGUUUGCAGAAAGGAAAGGUGAGCAGUUCCUCAACAUUUGAAAGGUAUGAGAUUAUGGCAUCGAACUUUGAAUUAUCAGGGGGUAUACCUUGUGGUGAAAUGAUAUGUCCAAGAUAUUUAACAGAAUCACAACAAUAUUUAGCGUGUUGAUAAUAUUUCUACCAAGUGUCAAUUUCAUUUUGAAAUUGAUGAAUGUAAUUUAUGUAAUAGAAGGUCCGAAAUAUUGCUUCUGCGCAUUACGAUAUUUGAUUGUCAUUUGUUAGCUUAUUGCGACGAAGCCGUGUCACAGGCAAUUUAAAGUUUAAAUAUUAGACUUUAUGCUAUGGUCAGUCAAAUACCAAGUCAAAUUCGCCAUUGUAUGCUUUUUGAGUUUUGCAACGGUAGUCACGCAACAGUUGCGACAACAAAUAUUGGCGAUGUUUAUCCAAGUACAUUUAACAUUUGUGCAUACCACUGCAAGUGAUUGGAAAAUAAGCAGAGCGGGUGUUUGUAUCUUUAUAAUUUGGCCGAAGAGAACUAAGUCAUCAGAUCAAUCCCAUGCAACGGUAUUGCUUCAAUGGUAUUGUAUGACUUAGCUCUCUCCAAAUCAAUCUCCACGAAGUAAUGCAAAGCUAAAUUUAGAUUUCAAAAAGGCGUUUAUGAGUGUUUGGUGGAGUGUACACGCUCCUUUUGAAAUACUGAAGCUUGGACAAUCUGUUAAUACAGAUCUUUAUUGUGAACAAUUGAAUAAAGUGAACCAGUCUUUCAUCGAAGAGUAUCCGGCGAUUGUCAACACAAAAGUCGUUAUUUUACAAUAGAGCAAUGCAAGACCAUACUGUAGAAGAUUUGGAAAAAAUUAAUGAAUUGGGGUGGAUAGUGGCUUUAUUCGCCAAACAUUUAUUCCGAUCGAUAUUUUUUUAGUGGCAAAAAAUAUAAAAAUUUGGAUGAUGUUCUAAGUGCCAUCUUGAGAUAUUUUAUUCAAAAACAAAUCAAUUUUCAUCGGUCGGGAAUUGGAAAAUUUCCCCACUAUAUAAAUAUUGUUCAUACCGAAGGUGACUACAUUAUUGAUUGAAAAUAAAAACUUGUUCGUUUGAAUUUAAUUGAGGUGGACUAAAUUAUUCCAUUUCCUCUUUGUGGUUGGUAUCAUUAUGAAAGUAUUUUAUUUCCAAUAUAAAUAUUAAUAAUCUGUUGAAAACGCAUGUGUCGCGACUCUAUUGUUUAUAUUAAUUUAUACAUAUUUUCAUUAAUAUAGUUGACCAUACUGAUAGUUAACCCAUAUUAUUUACGCCAGCGAGCUGCUUGAAAUUGUCUGAAGGUCUUCAAGGUUAACUCCAACUAUUAUCAGAUUACUAACAUAUCAAAUAUAAUUUGAAUGGAAGUUGCAACAUGAUGAGUUUCUUAUUGUGCAACAGUAUUAUUUAGUACGAGAAAUUGAAGGCGCAUAUGCGCAUUGGACAAAAUGGACUAUAAUCUGCAUUCGAUUAAAUGCGUUCUGGUUUGAUUUAGCUGAAAAACUUAUAAAAAGGCCUCAGUAAUUAUAGUGAGCAGAGUACAUGUUUAAAGAAUCAAUAGUUCGUUAAAUAUCUAAUAAAUGAGACGCCUAGAAUCAAAGAAACCUCAAUAAAUUUUCGGAAAAGUGAAAAAAUAUGUCACAAACAGACUUCAUUAGCAAUUAUUAGUUCUUUUACCAAAAAAUCAAUAAUUUUUACUUUAUAACAGAGACAAUGUAUGAUUGAGAUCCUCAAAAUAGUUUCAUAAAUAUUGAGAAAAAUUUAAAAUCAAAAUUUGGAUUUUGAUACUAAGAUUGAGAUUUGGCGGGAUUUGAAACAAAAAUAAGCUUAGGCUGUAAAAGGGUUGAGCUGUAAAAGCUAUACUAAUUAUAAUCUUGAUUAAUCUUGACUUUAAUUAUUACAAAAUAAUUAUUGUUAUACUAGAUCACACAAUAUCAAACAAUAAUGUUUUCAUCUUCUUCAUUGUUGAGACCUUCUGCUUCUUGAUUUUCCAAAUCUCGAUAAAAUUUUAGCGUCUCGUAGUUUCUCCACCCUUGUUCAAAGCUUUAUUAGCAGUUUCGCAACUUCCUUAAUUUUUGCAGCUUUAAGGCUAACUUCCUUGUUUAUGGCUUUUGGGUUUAUGUAACAUUUAAACUUUGGUUUUGUGACAGAUUUUGUUUGACAAGUUUCAGUCCUAUAAAAGACUUCACCCUGGACCAGAAUUUUACUUUUCUUCUUGUUCUUUUUGAUGGAUUGAACUCGAAGAGUUACAAGUUCAGUUUUUUUACACUUGAACGGUUCCAUGUUCCCCAGAACUUCUUCAUACUCUUCUGGCUUAAGAAUAAUGCCUUUCUUUUUUAAAUCUGUCUCAAUAAAUCCAAAUACCCUGUCAAAAAUAAAACAUAAAGAAUAAAUUACUCGCAGAGGAUCAAGGGUAAUCACGUGACGAAACUAGGUGCUCCUUUUGGCCGAUUUGAAUUUGGCAGAUAUUGAAACUGAAAAUGGCGUGAUUGUCUUGGACUUGGCGGAUAUUGCAACUAAACUUCAACUCUGGCCUCCGAAUACACUAGAAUGUGACAAGAUUUGCUACAACAUAACAGUUGUAUGGAAUUCAGCAUGGAAAAAUCUAUGAGAAACAAUAUCAAACUCAGCUUCGAAAAAAUAUGUACUUGGCGGUUUUUGAUUUCAGGCACCUCAAAUAUCGGAUAUUUAAUAAUCGCUGAGUAGAAAUGUCAAUGUUAUGUUGUCAAUUCACUACAAUUGUUAUAUUCUAUCAAACAAACAGUUGUAUAGUGUUAAAAACUAAAUAAUAACUUGACAGUCUCAAAAUACCUACUAAAAUAGAAGAUAUACUAGUUGUGGCUAUUAAAUAACGAGACUAGUGUUAUAAUACAUUUUAUUUUGAUAUUAAGUAUAUCAAUUUAUGAUUAUCUUCAAUGUAUACCCCUUCUCUAUCCCUACAUUUUUUUUAAAUAGAUCACUUGUAUGGCAAAACAAAAAACUGCCCUUAUACCACACGAAGGCAACCGCUACACUGGUUUAUCUACACACACUGUAGGCAUCGCAAGAGUUACACUGACAGUCGUUAACAUUUGGCGCGUGCCUACUUUUUCUAUAGCAGUGCUAGUUUCGUUACCUAAUAGCCAUCUUAUUAUAUUUCGCAUGGGCAAUAUAAUGCAUCAAUGAACGAUAAUUUCUAAAAUGAAAUUUUUAGUAUUAUUUGAUUUUCUCCCAACAAUUUUCAAAAAAUUAUUUCAAUUCAUGUCAUAAAUUAUGUAAUAUGUAUGUAGAGGUAGGAAUUAUACAAAAUUUCAGAUCA
Molecule: long non-coding RNA, 6281 nt
Organism: Diorhabda carinulata
Lineage: Eukaryota; Metazoa; Arthropoda; Insecta; Coleoptera; Chrysomelidae
Exons: 2
Source: RefSeq, a predicted model, not a curated record